This 301-nucleotide ribosomal RNA is filed under the name uncultured bacterium. RNAcentral's name for it is "partial 16S ribosomal RNA". It matches the Rfam family "Bacterial small subunit ribosomal RNA", at positions 509 to 809 of the family's 1533-position model. The record is from RNAcentral.
CAGUAGCCGCGGGAAUACGAAGGUCCCGAGCGUUGUUCGGAAUCACUGGGCGUAAAGGGAGCGUAGGCGGCGUGGUAAGUCAGAUGUGAAAUCCCGGGGCUCAACCCCGGAACUGCAUCCGAUACUGCCAUGCUAGAGGAUUGGAGAGGUAGCUGGAAUUCUUGGUGUAGCAGUGAAAUGCGUGGAGAUCAAGAGGAACACUCGUGGCGAAAGCGAGCUACUGGACAAUAACUGACGCUGAGGCUCGAAGGCCAGGGUAGCGAAAGGGAUUAGAUACCCCGGUAGUCCCUGUCUCUUAUGC